UACGGAAGGCAGCAGUGGGGAAUAUUGCACAAUGGGCGAAAGCCUGAUGCAGCUAUGCCGCGUGUAUGAAGAAGGCCUUAGGGUUGUAAAGUACUUUCAUCGGGGAGGAAAAAACAAAACUAAUAAUUUUAUUUCUUGACGUUACCCGAAAAAGAAGCACCGGCUAACUCCGUGCCAGCAGCCGCGGUAAUACGGAGGGUGCUAGCGUUAAUCAGAAUUACUGGGCGUAAAGAGCACGUAGGUGGUUUUUUUAAAGUCAGAUGUGAAAUCCCUGGGCUUUAACCUAGGAACUGCAUUUUGAAACUGAAAUACUAGAGUAUCGUAGAGGGAGGUAGAAUUCUAGGUGUAGCGGUGAAAUGCGUAGAUAUCUGGAGGAAUACCUGUGGCGAAAGCGGCCUCCUAAACGAAUACUGACACUGAGGGUGCGAAAAGCGUGGGGAGCAAACAGGGAUUAGAUACC
This 460-nucleotide ribosomal RNA is filed under the name uncultured bacterium. RNAcentral's name for it is "bacterial SSU rRNA". It matches the Rfam family "Bacterial small subunit ribosomal RNA", at positions 340 to 786 of the family's 1533-position model. The record is from RNAcentral.